AUCGUGAUGAGGAAGAGUUAAUUUGAGACGUUAUAAUGAUGGCUUAAAAGGAUAUUUUCAAAAAAAAUCUCCAACUUCCAUCAUAGAAGAAAGUCAAAAAAAUCAUGUUCUAUACAAAUUUUUCUCAUUAAAAUAUAAAAAUUAUAUUUCGGACAUUUUUUUCCAACUUUUUUUUUAAAAAAAAAAUUCAACCAUACAACAGAGAUUUUUUUUUUUUUCACUGACCAUACUAUUCUACCUCCACUUCCCACGGACC
RNAcentral lists this long non-coding RNA (256 nucleotides) under Elaeis guineensis (African oil palm). RNAcentral describes it as "long non-coding RNA (EGUI_LNC000417)". Lineage: Eukaryota; Viridiplantae; Streptophyta; Magnoliopsida; Arecales; Arecaceae. The record is from RNAcentral.